GGAGCUUGCUCCCUGAUGUUAGCGGCGGACGGGUGAGUAACACGUGGGUAACCUGCCUGUAAGACUGGGAUAACUCCGGGAAACCGGGGCUAAUACCGGAUGGUUGUCUGAACCGCAUGGUUCAGACAUAAAAGGUGGCUUCGGCUACCACUUACAGAUGGACCCGCGGCGCAUUAGCUAGUUGGUGAGGUAACGGCUCACCAAGGCAACGAUGCGUAGCCGACCUGAGAGGGUGAUCGGCCACACUGGGACUGAGACACGGCCCAGACUCCUACGGGAGGCAGCAGUAGGGAAUCUUCCGCAAUGGACGAAAGUCUGACGGAGCAACGCCGCGUGAGUGAUGAAGGUUUUCGGAUCGUAAAGCUCUGUUGUUAGGGAAGAACAAGUGCCGUUCAAAUAGGGCGGCACCUUGACGGUACCUAACCAGAAAGCCACGGCUAACUACGUGCCAGCAGCCGCGGUAAUACGUAGGUGGCAAGCGUUGUCCGGAAUUAUUGGGCGUAAAGGGCUCGCAGGCGGUUUCUUAAGUCUGAUGUGAAAGCCCCCGGCUCAACCGGGGAGGGUCAUUGGAAACUGGGGAACUUGAGUGCAGAAGAGGAGAGUGGAAUUCCACGUGUAGCGGUGAAAUGCGUAGAGAUGUGGAGGAACA
This 649-nucleotide ribosomal RNA is filed under the name Bacillus subtilis. RNAcentral describes it as "bacterial SSU rRNA". It matches the Rfam family "Bacterial small subunit ribosomal RNA", at positions 75 to 708 of the family's 1533-position model. The record is from RNAcentral. Lineage: Bacteria; Bacillati; Bacillota; Bacilli; Caryophanales; Bacillaceae.